This is a non-coding RNA of Oncorhynchus mykiss (rainbow trout), 1542 nucleotides long. NCBI's taxonomy places the organism in Eukaryota, Metazoa, Chordata, Actinopteri, Salmoniformes, Salmonidae. The record is from RefSeq and is a predicted model, not a curated record.
AACUUCGGCGGAAGUCGUGGCAGAUGUUCAUUUUGUCAGACUACUCUAGUAUAUGCUACUGUACUCAAAAUGUUACAUUUUCUACACAUAUAUUGAGACGAUUGAAAUACUGCUAGUUUUACAGAAAAUUGCCCUUUUCGUCCUCAUGCUAGCUAGCAGUAGCCACUCACCAAUUUUGGAAUGACAGUGUCAGCCAAUCAGCUCCUUUGUUGUUCAACGCUACAUGCCAUUCCAUAACGGCUGCUGUGGCUACUGGUAGCUAGCAUGAGGACGAAAAAUGAAGUUUUACGUAAAACUAGCAGUAUUUCAAUCUUCUUGAUGGAGCAAUGUGGAUGAAGGUAACAUUUGGGGUACAGUGGCAUAUCCCAUCCCUGCAUUGAGAGAUUACUUCAUUCCUGAAACGCCCUCUUCGCGGACACAACAAACAAGAUUCUCAUCUCAUUCACCACAACUGAAAAGGGGACCUUUUCUUGCAGCAGACCAGUAGAAACUGGUUUUGUUGAGCAGACGCAAAACAGAUUCCAGAUCAGCUACUUCUACCCUACAUGCAUUCCCCCACAUGGCCCCCAAGCCUUGUAGCUGGUCCAGAGACAGUGUCUAAUUAACAACAAUAUCACAAUUUAAUCACUAAUAUGUGAUUUCUGUAUGAAUAAUACUCAUAACGUUGGUGACAAGUUAUAUAAUUUUUUAUUUUCUUUUUUACUUUUACAAUGAAUGUUAAAGAGGCUUUUAAGUUGUUUUACAGGCUAAUGGUUAACUACGGCCAGUUGAAAAAACAGCUGUGUACUUUUUCACUUUCCUCUGGGCAUCAAAGAAGGUAGUCAGAUUGUCUUUCAAUAGUCAUCUUCCAAAGGAAUUCUCACACCAUUAUGGUUCAAGGUGCCAAGGAUGAUGAGGUACUACACCAUCACCACCGGCAAUACUAUGGAUUCCCAUAUCCAGUUUAUGCGACAACUUGGAGGAGGCUUCACUGAAGUGAUGUCACCAGAGCAGAGUGAUGUCAUCAUGGCUUUCUGUACCAUCGUCUCUCGUGCUGGUACUGAUAUUGAGGCAGCACAGCAGCAGAUUCCAGAGGGUAAAGAUGUCAUUCUGGUAGUCCUGCAUCAUUAUUUUAACCCAGACUGCACUGUACCUGACAGCAGCAGACUAGUGACCAGAAGUGAUGUAAUACUCACAGUAGACUGUCUGUUCCAUGAGAGUAAGGAAGGACUACUGAACUGUCCUCUUAAUGAAGAAGCCGUUAAAGAGAUUAGGAAGAAACUUGACAUACAUCCUGAGACCAAAGACCAGAUGGACAGUGUGUGGAGGAUUUUCUCUGUCUGUUGUACAAUAGUUGUAAUCUUGGCCAUUGGGACUGUUUUAAAGAAAAUUAUUUCAGAGAAAUAUGCUUAGCUUUUUGGCUGCAUGUCUGUUCCAACAGUGAAUCAAUGAUAACCUCACAGCUGUGGAAGUGGGGCCAAUUCUAAACAUGUUUCCCGCCAGAUAUGCAUUUUCCGAUGUGAUAUCCUUCAAAAAUAGUAAAAGAGCAUAGAGGACUUGCCA